RNAcentral lists this ribosomal RNA (377 nucleotides) under uncultured bacterium. RNAcentral's name for it is "bacterial SSU rRNA". It matches the Rfam family "Bacterial small subunit ribosomal RNA", at positions 521 to 896 of the family's 1533-position model. The record is from RNAcentral.
UAAGACGGAGGGCGCAAGCGUUGUUCGGAAUUACUGGGCGUAAAGCGCGGGCAGGUGGCCCGUUAAGUCUGCGGUGAAAUCCCGGGGCUCAACUCCGGAUAUGCCGCGGAUACUGGCGGGCUAGAGACUGGUAGAGGCGAGUGGAAUUCCAGGUGUAGCGGUGGAAUGCGUAGAUAUCUGGAAGAACACCGGUGGCGAAGGCGGCUCGCUGGGCCAGUUCUGACACUCAUCCGCGAAAGCGUGGGGAGCAAACAGGAUUAGAUACCCUGGUAGUCCACGCCGUAAACGAUGGGCACUAGAUGCCGGGUCUAUAGACGGAUUCGGUGUCGCAGCUAACGCAUUAAGUGCCCCGCCUGGGGAGUACGGCCGCAAGGCUG